GCCCAGGUGGCGGAAUUGGUAGACGCGCUAGAUUCAGGAUCUAGUUCCCGCGAGGGAGUGGAAGUUCGAGUCUUCUCCUGGGCA
Molecule: transfer RNA, 84 nt
Filed under: Magnetofaba australis IT-1
Lineage: Bacteria; Pseudomonadati; Pseudomonadota; Magnetococcia; Magnetococcales; Magnetococcaceae
Rfam family: tRNA
About the family: Transfer RNA (tRNA) molecules are approximately 80 nucleotides in length.
Source: Rfam by way of RNAcentral